GGGGACCUUCGGGGCCCUAUCAUCGCGGCGCGCAAAGUGCUGCAUUUAUAACGGAAGACAGAAA
The submitters of this non-coding RNA (64 nucleotides) gave its source as unclassified sequences. The record is from Rfam.